This 400-nucleotide ribosomal RNA is filed under the name uncultured bacterium. Its description in RNAcentral is "bacterial SSU rRNA". It matches the Rfam family "Bacterial small subunit ribosomal RNA", at positions 975 to 1375 of the family's 1533-position model. The record is from RNAcentral.
CAAGGCUUGACAUGCAGGGUAAUCCGGCAGAGAUGUCGGGUCCGCAAGGGAUCCUGCACAGGUGGUGCAUGGUUGUUGUCAGCUCGUGUCGUGAGAUGUUGGGUUAAGUCCCGCAACGAGCGCAACCCUCGUCCUAUGUCGCCAGCACGUCAUGGUGGGGACUCAUAGGAGACUGCCGGGGUCAACUCGGAGGAAGGCGGGGAUGACGUCAAAUCAUCAUGCCCCUUAUGUCUUGGGCUUCACCCAUGCUACAAUGGCCAGUACAAAGGGGUGCGAGACCGUGAGGUGGAGCGAAUCCCAAAAAGCUGGUUUCAGUUCGGAUCGGGGUUUGCAACUUGACCCCGUGAAGUUGGAGUCGCUAGUAAUUGCAGAUCAGCAACGCCGCGGUGAAUACGUUCCC